UUUCCGUAGGUGAACCUGCGGAAGGAUCAUUCAUAAUAAAGUGUUUUAUGGCACUUUUUAGAAAUCCAUAUCCACCUCGUGUGCAAUGUUAGAUCUCGUCAAUCUUGGCGAGAUUUUUAUACACCAACUCAUUCUUUAACUAAUUUGUCUGAAAAAUAUUAUGAAUACUUAAUUCAAAAUACAACUUUCAACAACGGAUCUCUUGGCUCUC
This 211-nucleotide unclassified non-coding RNA is filed under the name plant metagenome. RNAcentral's name for it is "partial contains small subunit ribosomal RNA, internal transcribed spacer 1, and 5.8S ribosomal RNA". The record is from RNAcentral.